RNAcentral lists this ribosomal RNA (250 nucleotides) under uncultured prokaryote. RNAcentral's name for it is "partial 16S ribosomal RNA". It matches the Rfam family "Bacterial small subunit ribosomal RNA", at positions 524 to 773 of the family's 1533-position model. The record is from RNAcentral.
UACGUAGGGGGCGAGCGUUGUUCGGAUUUACUGGGCGUAAAGGGCACGUAGGCUGCGAGGCGUGUCGAGUGUGAAAUCUCCGGGCCCAACCCGGAAAGUGCGCUCGAAACUACCUUGCUGGAGUACGGGAGAGGGAAGGGGAAUACAGGGUGUAGCGGUGAAAUGCGUUGAUAUCCUGUAGAACACCGGAGGCGAAGGCGCCUUCCUGGAACGUUACUGACGCUAAGGUGCGAAAGUCGGGGGAGCAAAC